Molecule: non-coding RNA, 144 nt
Organism: Gossypium raimondii (Peruvian cotton)
Lineage: Eukaryota; Viridiplantae; Streptophyta; Magnoliopsida; Malvales; Malvaceae
Source: Rfam
UGUUAAAAAAAUAUCUAUUUGUAUUGUUAAAAAUUAAUGUAGUUGACAGAAUAACUAGAUAGUAACAUAUGGUGUGCUAUGUUUACCUUAUAUUAACAUAUAGGAACUAGUUUUUAACAAUAAAAAUAGAUGAAAUUUUUAAGA